RNAcentral lists this ribosomal RNA (253 nucleotides) under uncultured bacterium. RNAcentral's name for it is "partial 16S ribosomal RNA". It matches the Rfam family "Bacterial small subunit ribosomal RNA", at positions 524 to 776 of the family's 1533-position model. The record is from RNAcentral.
UACAGAGGUCUCAAGCGUUGUUCGGAUUCAUUGGGCGUAAAGGGUUCGUAGGCGGUGUGGCAAGUCGGGAGUGAAAUCUCUGGGCUCAACUCAGAGACUGCUUCCGAAACUGCUGUGCUGGAGUGUGGGAGAGGCGCGUGGAAUUGCAGGUGUAGCGGUGAAAUGCGUAGAUAUCUGCAGGAACACCCGUGGCGAAAGCGGCGCGCUGGACCACUACUGACGCUGAGGAACGAAAGCUAGGGGAGCAAACAGG